UACGUAGGGUCCGAGCGUUGUCCGGAAUUAUUGGGCGUAAAGGGCUCGUAGGCGGUUUGUCGCGUCGGGAGUGAAAUCUUACAGCUUAACUGUGAACUUGCUUCCGAUACGGGCAGACUUGAGGCAUUCAGGGGAGAACGGAAUUCCUGGUGUAGCGGUGAAAUGCGCAGAUAUCAGGAGGAACACCGGUGGCGAAGGCGGUUCUCUGGGAAUGUACUGACGCUGAGGAGCGAAAGCGUGGGGAGCGAACAGG
RNAcentral lists this ribosomal RNA (253 nucleotides) under uncultured bacterium. Its description in RNAcentral is "partial 16S ribosomal RNA". It matches the Rfam family "Bacterial small subunit ribosomal RNA", at positions 524 to 776 of the family's 1533-position model. The record is from RNAcentral.